UACGUAGGGGGCAAGCGUUGUCCGGAUUUAUUGGGCGUAAAGAGCUCGUAGGUGGUUCGGUAAGUCGGAUGUGAAAUCUCCAGGCUCAACCUGGAGGGGUCAUUCGAUACUGCCGUGACUAGAGGUCGGUAGGGGAGUGUGGAAUUCCUGGUGGAGCGGUGAAAUGCGCAGAUAUCGGGAGGAACACCGGUGGCGAAGGCGGUUCUCUGGGCCUUACCUGACGCUGAGGAGCGAAAGCGUGGGGAGCGAACAGG
This 254-nucleotide ribosomal RNA is filed under the name uncultured bacterium. Its description in RNAcentral is "partial 16S ribosomal RNA". It matches the Rfam family "Bacterial small subunit ribosomal RNA", at positions 524 to 776 of the family's 1533-position model. The record is from RNAcentral.